UACAUUAUGGCCGAGUGGUUAAGGCAUUGGACUUGAAUUCCAAUGGGCAUUGCCAGCGCAGGUUCAAACCCUGCUCGCAGCGACGUAU
Molecule: non-coding RNA, 88 nt
Organism: Mercenaria mercenaria
Lineage: Eukaryota; Metazoa; Mollusca; Bivalvia; Venerida; Veneridae
Source: the annotation of a RefSeq genome assembly